GAAAUCGGAGGUAAUACCGAAUGUGAUCGUCCCCCGCAUGAGGGACUGUUCAAAGAUGGGGAUCUUCGGACCUGUCACUUCAGGAUGCGCCCGCGUCCCAUCAGCUUGUUGGUAGGGUAACGGCCUACCAAGGCAGAGACGGGUAGCUGGUCUGAGAGGAUGGUUAGCCACACUGGGACUGAGACACUGCCCAGACUCCUACGGGAGGCUGCAGUCGAGAAUCAUUCGCAAUGCACGAAAGUGUGACGAUGCGACGCCGCGUGGAGGAUGACGGCCUUCGGGUUGUAAACUCCUGUCAAGAGGGAAGAAUCCCCCGAUUCUGAAUAGGUUUUGGGGUUGACGGUACCUCUAGAGGAAGCCACGGCUAACUCUGUGCCAGCAGCCGCGGUAAUACAGAGGUGGCGAGCGUUGUUCGGAUUUACUGGGCGUAAAGGGUGCGUAGGUGGCAUCGCAUGUCGGAUGUGAAAGCUCACGGCUCAACCGUGGAACGGCAUCCGAAACUGCGGAGCUAGAGUACAGGAGAGGAGAGCGGAAUUCUCGGUGUAGCGGUGAAAUGCGUAGAUAUCGAGAGGAACACCGGUGGCGAAAGCGGCUCUC
RNAcentral lists this ribosomal RNA (597 nucleotides) under uncultured Planctomycetota bacterium. RNAcentral's name for it is "bacterial SSU rRNA". It matches the Rfam family "Bacterial small subunit ribosomal RNA", at positions 153 to 729 of the family's 1533-position model. Lineage: Bacteria; Pseudomonadati; Planctomycetota. The record is from RNAcentral.